This 408-nucleotide ribosomal RNA is filed under the name uncultured bacterium. Its description in RNAcentral is "partial 16S ribosomal RNA". It matches the Rfam family "Bacterial small subunit ribosomal RNA", at positions 29 to 526 of the family's 1533-position model. The record is from RNAcentral.
AGUGAACGCUGGCGGCGUGCCUAAUACAUGCAAGUCGAACGAAGUGGCGCACGGGUGAGUAAUAUAUCGUUAAUCUGCCCUCCACAGAGGAGCAACAGUUGGAAACGACUGCUAAUACCUCAUAGUGUAAGAUGAGACUAUAUCGUAUCAGCUAGUUGGUAAGGUAAUGGCUUACCAAGGCGAUGACGCGUAACAGGUCUGAGAGGAUGAUCAGUAACAUUCGAACUGAGGCACCGUCGAAACACAUUGGGGAAGGAGCAGUAGGGAAUAGUGCCCAAGGGGGGUGAGCGAGGCGGGGCUACGGCGCGUAGAGGAUUAUACUUGUGGGGGCGUGAACUCAUUUUAACAGGAACGCGGUACCUGCUGAAGAAGCACCGGCUAACUCCGUGCCAGCAGCCGCGGUAAUAC